RNAcentral lists this ribosomal RNA (541 nucleotides) under uncultured bacterium. RNAcentral describes it as "bacterial SSU rRNA". It matches the Rfam family "Bacterial small subunit ribosomal RNA", at positions 356 to 896 of the family's 1533-position model. The record is from RNAcentral.
GAGGAAUAUUGGUCAAUGGGCGAGAGCCUGAACCAGCCAAGUAGCGUGCGGGAUGAAGGCCCUUGUGGUCGUAAACCGCUUUUAUCAGUGAAUAAAGUGCAUCACGUGUGGUGUCAUUGCAGGUAGCUGAAGAAAAAGGACCGGCUAAUUCCGUGCCAGCAGCCGCGGUAAUACGGAAGGUCCGGGCGUUAUCCGGAAUUAUUGGGUUUAAAGGGAGCGCAGGCGGGAGUGUAAGUCAGCUGUUAAAUAUCAGGGCCCAACUCUGUUAUGCAGUUGAAACUAUAUUUCUUGAGUACGCACAGGGAUGGCGGAAUUCAGGGUGUAGCGGUGAAAUGCUUAGAUAUCCUGAAGAACUCCGAUCGCGAAGGCAGCCAUCCGGAGCGUAACUGACGCUGAGGCUCGAAGGUGCGGGUAUCAAACAGGAUUAGAUACCCUGGUAGUCCGCACGGUAAACGAUGAAUACUCGCAGUUCGGUUAUUAUGGUCGAGCUGUCCAGCGAAAGCGUUAAGUAUUCCACCUGGGGAGUACGCCGGCAACGGUG